AAUCAACGCUGGCGGCGUGCCUCAGACAUGCAAGUCGAACGAUUAAAGCUCUCUUCGGAGAGUGCAUAGAGUGGCGCACGGGUGAGUAACACGUAAGUAAUCUACCCUCGAGUGGGGAAUAACGUCCGGAAACGGACGCUAAUACCGCAUAAUGCAGCGGCACCGCAAGGUGACAGUUGUUAAAGGAGAAAUUCGCUUGAGGAGGAGCUUGCGGUAGAUUAGCUAGUUGGUAAGGUAAUGGCUUACCAAGGCUACGAUCUAUAACCGGUCUAAGAGGACGGUCGGUCACACUGACACUGAAUAACGGGUCAGACUCCUACGGGAGGCAGCAGUCGGGAAUUUUGGGCAAUGGGGGAAACCCUGACCCGGCAACGCCGCGUGAAGGAUGAAGUAUUUCGGUAUGUAAACUUCGAAAGAAUAGGAAGAAUCAAUGACGGUACUAUUUAUAAGGUCCGGCUAACUACGUGCCAGCAGACGCGGUAAUACGUAGGGACCAAGCGUUGUUCGGAUUUACUGGGCGUAAAGGGCGCGUAGGCGGCGCUGUAAGUCACUUGUGAAAUCUCCGGGCUUAACUCGGAACGGCCAAGUGAUACUGCAGUGCUAGAGUGCAGAAGGGGCAAUCGGAAUUCUUGGUGUAGCGGUGAAAUGCGUAGAUAUCAAGAGGAACACCUGAGGUGAAGACGGGUUGCUGGGCUGACACUGACGCUGAGGCGCGAAAGCCAGGGGAGCAAACGGGAUUAGAUACCCCGGUAGUCCUGGCCCUAAACGAUGAAUACUUGGUGUCUGGAGACUUAAUGCUCCGGGUGCCGUCGCUAACGUUUUUAGUAUUCCGCCUGGGGAGUACGCUCGCAAGAGUGAAACUCAAAGGAAUUGACGGG
Molecule: ribosomal RNA, 878 nt
Filed under: uncultured bacterium
Lineage: Bacteria
Description: bacterial SSU rRNA
Rfam family: Bacterial small subunit ribosomal RNA
Source: RNAcentral